This 437-nucleotide ribosomal RNA is filed under the name uncultured Glomus. RNAcentral describes it as "SSU rRNA". It matches the Rfam family "Eukaryotic small subunit ribosomal RNA", at positions 589 to 1031 of the family's 1831-position model. Lineage: Eukaryota; Fungi; Glomeromycota; Glomeromycetes; Glomerales; Glomeraceae. The record is from RNAcentral.
CUCCAAUAGCGUAUAUUAAAGUUGUUGCAGUUAAAAAGCUCGUAGUUGAAUUUCGGGAUUAGUACGUUGGUCGUGCCUUAGGUACGUACUGGUGUUACUGGUUCCUACCUUCUGACGAACCAUCAUGUCAUUAAUUUGGUGUGGCGGGGAAUCAGGACUGUUACUUUGAAAAAAUUAGAGUGUUUAAAGCAGGCUCGCGCUUGAAUACAUUAGCAUGGAAUAAUGAAAUAGGACGUUGACCCUAUUUUGUUGGUUUCUAGGAUUGACGUAAUGAUUAAUAGGGAUAGUUGGGGGCAUUAGUAUUCAAUUGUCAGAGGUGAAAUUCUUGGAUUUAUUGAAGACUAACUACUGCGAAAGCAUUUGCCAAGGAUGUUUUCAUUAAUCAAGAACGAAAGUUAGGGGAUCGAAGACNAUCAGAUACCGUCNNANUCUUAACC